UUAACUUAAGGGCCGCUUCUCUUGCGAG
This 28-nucleotide small RNA is filed under the name Bombyx mori (domestic silkworm). RNAcentral describes it as "ovarian small RNA-36343". Lineage: Eukaryota; Metazoa; Arthropoda; Insecta; Lepidoptera; Bombycidae. The record is from RNAcentral.